Non-coding RNA from Pelobates cultripes (western spadefoot toad), 419 nucleotides. NCBI's taxonomy places the organism in Eukaryota, Metazoa, Chordata, Amphibia, Anura, Pelobatidae. The record is from the annotation of a GenBank genome assembly.
UUUUUAUGAUCAGUUCUCUGUUUGUUGACUGUUUUUUGGAGCGGAGUUACCAGCAAAGACAAACUACUUGUCGGUCUAUAAGUGCAUUAUGAGCGUACGGUGCUGAAUCUGGUGUCUAUUAGACAGUGAAAGGGUUAUUACAAUUCUCCUUUACAUAGACACAUGCAUCCCCUCGUUACCCACUCCACCCUCCCUCCUACAUUAAUCUAUCCAGAUACUGCAAAUGUUAUACAUGUAUACAUAGAAUAACGAAUAAAAAAUGCUAUAAUUCUAGGUGAUAAGGUAAAAUAAUGAUCCUGACUGUAUGUCUGUACUUUAGCAUUCUGUAUACAUUUGAUGUACACAUCACAGCCCCCCUACAUGUGUUUCAUCCUGCAUGCUUUCUAUUUUAGUAUUGGGUCACUGGGGCCACAACACUC